CUCUGUCUGCAACAACACCAUUGGAGACUACAACUGUACAUGCUUGAGUGGAUAUAACUUGACUGAUCCAAGUGUGCGGAGUAGUGCUGACAAUCCAUGUACAGAUAUUAACGAAUGCGUUGUGAUUCUAAACCUUUGUGGCCAACACUCAAACUGUGCCAAUACCAAUGGAACUUACAACUGUUCUUGCUUGACUGGAUAUCAAGUGGCCAAUCCAAACCAAUCCAUAAGUUAUAGCAAUCAGUGCACAGAUGUGGAUGAAUGCCUUCAGACACCAUCAGUCUGUGGUCCAAACUCAGUCUGCAACAACACCAUUGGAGACUACAACUGUACAUGCUUGAGUGGAUAUAAUGUGACUGAUCCAAGUGUGCGAAGUAGUGCUAACAAUUCCUGCACUGAUACAAAUGAAUGUGAUGACAUACCAAACAUAUGUGGAUCCAACUCACACUGCACCAACACCAAUGGAAGCUUCAACUGUUCCUGCCUGAGUGGAUAUCGGGAAACCAG
Sardina pilchardus (European sardine) is the source of this 507-nucleotide long non-coding RNA. RefSeq lists it as uncharacterized. The record is from RefSeq and is a predicted model, not a curated record. NCBI's taxonomy places the organism in Eukaryota, Metazoa, Chordata, Actinopteri, Clupeiformes, Clupeidae. The transcript has 4 exons.